GAUCAUGGCUCAGGAUGAACGCUAGCUACAGGCUUAACACAUGCAAGUCGAGGGGCAGCAUUUUUCUAGCAAUAGAAGAGAUGGCGACCGGCGCACGGGUGAGUAACACGUAUCCAACCUACCGAUAACUCUGGAAUAGCCUUUCGAAAGAAAGGUUAAUACCGGAUAGUAUACGAAUAUCGCAUGAUAUUUUUAUUAAAGAAUUUCGGUUAUCGAUGGGGAUGCGUUCCAUUAGUUUGUUGGCGGGG
Molecule: ribosomal RNA, 248 nt
Filed under: uncultured bacterium
Lineage: Bacteria
Description: partial 16S ribosomal RNA
Rfam family: Bacterial small subunit ribosomal RNA
Source: RNAcentral